Molecule: long non-coding RNA, 208 nt
Filed under: Elaeis guineensis (African oil palm)
Lineage: Eukaryota; Viridiplantae; Streptophyta; Magnoliopsida; Arecales; Arecaceae
Description: long non-coding RNA (EGUI_LNC054185)
Source: RNAcentral
AUUACACCAACAUCCUAACAAGUGAUAUAACCCCAAAAUCUAAUUGGAUGAUGGCCACAUACCAAUGCUAGAAACUAAGUAAUAAUGCAAGAUUUUUACCUUAAUAAUAUUUGCUAAGGGUUCGAGAUUGAUUUAACAAGACAAGCAUGAAAGCCACUAACCAAAGUCAUAUGUUAGAUAGUAUAUUAUACCUCCUUAAAAGACAUAA